Molecule: ribosomal RNA, 484 nt
Filed under: uncultured bacterium
Lineage: Bacteria
Description: partial 16S ribosomal RNA
Rfam family: Bacterial small subunit ribosomal RNA
Source: RNAcentral
AUUGAACGCUGGCGGCAGGCCUAACACACGCUAGUCGAGCGGAUGAAGGGAGCUUGCUCCUGGAUUCAGCGGCGGACGGGUGAGUAAUGCCUAGGAAUCUGCCUGGUAGUGGGGGAUAACGUCCGGAAACGGGCGCUAAUACCGCAUACGUCCUGAGGGAGAAAGUGGGGGAUCUUCGGACCUCACGCUAUCAGAUGAGCCUAGGUCGGAUUAGCUAGUUGGUGGGGUAAAGGCCUACCAAGGCGACGAUCCGUAACUGGUCUGAGAGGAUGAUCAGUCACACUGGAACUGAGACACGGUCCAGACUCCUACGGGAGGCAGCAGUGGGGAAUAUUGGACAAUGGGCGAAAGCCUGAUCCAGCCAUGCCGCGUGUGUGAAGAAGGUCUUCGGAUUGUAAAGCACUUUAAGUUGGGAGGAAGGGCAGUAAGUUAAUACCUUGCUGUUUUGACGUUACCAACAGAAUAAGCACCGGCUAACUUCGUG